GAGAGCCCAUCCAGACGCCGUCUUCAUCAGACAGUGAAGCUAAGUCGGAGCUCCCUGAGAGCAGCCGAGUGAGCCCGUUUGCAUCGCGAGGGUGAGACAAAACGGGGCCGACUGGCAGCGGGCACUUGGGGACCGCCCGCGCGGCCGUGCGGCUCCAGGCUCCUCCCUCAGGCCGGAAUCCGACAGUUCAGCCUCGCUGCGGACCUGGAGGUCCAGCGGUGGUCAGUGCAGACUCCAGUCCACACCUCCCAGAGCCCACACCACUCAGAGUCUACACCACACGGGGUCUGCACCACCCAGAGUCUGCACCUCCCAGAGCCCACACCACUCAGAGUCUACACCACACGGGGUCUGCACCACCCAGAGUCUGCACCUCCCAGAGUCCACACCACCUGGGGUCUACACCUCCCAGAGUCUGUACCACUCAGAGUCUACACCACACGGGGUCUGCACCACCCAGAGUCUGCACCUCCCAGAGUCCACACCACCCGGGGUCUACACCUCCCAGAGCCCACACCACUCAGAGUCUACACCACACGGGGUCUGCACCACCCAGAGUCUGCACCUCCCAGAGUCUACACCACUCAGAGUCUACACCACAUGGGGUCUGCACCACCCAGAGUCUGCACCUCCCAGAGUCCACACCACCUGGGGUCUACACCUCCCAGAGUCUGUACCACUCAGAGUCUAUACCACACGGGGUCUGCACCACCCAGAGUCUACACCACCCAGAGUCUACACCACCCAGUCUGAACAUCUCAGAGUCUAUACCAUCCAGAGUCCACACCUCCCAGAGUCUACACCACCCAGAGUCUACACCACACGGGGUCUGCACCUCCCAGAGUCUACACCACCCAGAGUCUACACCACAUGGGGUCUACACAUCCCAGAGUCUCCACCACCCAGAGUCUGAACCUCUCAGAGUCUAUACCAUCCAGAGUCCACACCUCCCAGAGUCUACACCACCUGGGGUCUACACCAUCCAGAGUCUGCACCUCUCAGAAUCUCCACCACCCGGGGUCUACACCUCCCAGAGUCUCUACCACACAGAGCCAACACCACCUGGGGUCUAUACCACCGGG
Molecule: long non-coding RNA, 1082 nt
Filed under: Oryctolagus cuniculus (rabbit)
Lineage: Eukaryota; Metazoa; Chordata; Mammalia; Lagomorpha; Leporidae
Description: lncRNA (ENSOCUG00000034306.1)
Source: RNAcentral